RNAcentral lists this long non-coding RNA (795 nucleotides) under Homo sapiens (human). RNAcentral's name for it is "non-protein coding lnc-MAT2B-3:31". The record is from RNAcentral. Lineage: Eukaryota; Metazoa; Chordata; Mammalia; Primates; Hominidae.
CUCUGUGCAAAGGCAGAGGCUGUGGGAGCAGCAUCAAGCAAGACUUCGGGCAGUGAUUCUAACUAUUGCCUAUGAACACCGUGGCUGGGACGACUUUGACGAGGCAAUUUAUUACUUACGCAUAGAACACUGGCUGUGCUGAAACUGGGAGCGCAAACAGCCCCUUGUUUUCUAAUUUAGAGACUUGCAUCUUUUCGACACUCAACAGUAUCAAGACACUCUGCUACUACAGAUUGAUUUCCACCAUCAACACCUUUACCUCUUCCCGCCUGAAAAUAAAAUAUGAAAUAUAACAAGUAAAUCGCAAUCUACCUUGAAUCUUCUGGAGAGGAAAGAAGAAACCAUGUCUAGACAAGGUGCUGGAAAGACCCAGGGAAGACACAGGCUUUGGUAUCAGGAUGAAGCCAGCCUCAUAAAAUCAGUUAGGGAGGAUUCCCUCCUUUUCCAUUGAUUGGAACAGUUUCAGAAGGAAUGGUACCAGCUCCUCUUUGUACCUCUGGUAGAAUUCGGCUGUGAAUCUGUCUGGUCCUGGCCUUUUUUUGGUUGACGGAGUCUCACUCUGUCACCCAGGCUGGAGUGCAAUGGCACGGUCUCGGCUCCCUGCAACCUUCACCUCCCAGUUUCACUCUUGUUGCCCAGACUGGAGUGCAAUGGCGCGAUCUCGGCUCACUACAACCUCUGCCCCCCGGGUUCAAGCGAUUUUCUUCCCUCAGCCUCCCGAGUAGCUGGGAUUACAAGUGCCCACCACCACACCCAGCUAAUUUUUUGUAUUUUUAGUAGAGACAGGGUUUCACC